CCCGCUGAACUUAAGCAUAUCAAUAAGCGGAGGAAAAGAAACCAACAGGGAUUGCCCUAGUAACGGCGAGUGAAGCGGCAACAGCUCAAAUUUGAAAUCUGGCCUCGGCCCGAGUUGUAAUUUGCAGAGGAUGUUUCUGGCGCGGUGCCUUCCGAGUUCCCUGGAACGGGACGCCACAGAGGGUGAGAGCCCCGUAUGGUUGGACACCAAGCCUGUGUGAAACUCCUUCGACGAGUCGAGUAGUUUGGGAAUGCUGCUCUAAAUGGGAGGUAAAUCUCUUCUAAAGCUAAAUACCGGCCAGAGACCGAUAGCGCACAAGUAGAGUGAUCGAAAGAUGAAAAGCACCUUGAAAAGGGGGUUAAACAGUACGUGAAAUUGUUGAAAGGGAAGCGCUCAUGACCAGACUUGUGCCGGGCGGUUCAUCCGGGGUUCUCCCCGGUGCACUCCGCCCGGCUCAGGCCAGCAUCGGUUCUCGUUGGGGGAUAAGAACGGUAGGAACGUGGCCCUCCCUCGGGAGGGUGUUAUAGCCUGCCGUACGAUACCCUGAUGGGGACCGAGGUUCGCGCUCCGCAAGGAUGCUGGCGUAAUGGUCAUCAGCGACCCGUCUUGAAACACGGACCAAGGAGUCGUCCAUUAGAGCGAGCGUUUGGGUGUAAAACCCGCACGCGUAAUGAAAGUGAAAUUAGGUGAGAGCUUCGGCGCAUCAUCGACCGAUCCUGAUGUUCUCGGAUGGAUUUGAGUAAGAGUUUUAACGGACGGACCCGAAAGACAGUGAACUAUGCUUGUAUAGGGUGAAGCCAGAGGAAACUCUGGUGGAGGCUCGCAGCGGUUCUGACGUGCAAAUCGAUCGUCAAAUAUGAGCAUGGGGGCGAAAGACUAAUCGAACUGUCUAGUAGCUGGUUACCGCCGA
RNAcentral lists this ribosomal RNA (910 nucleotides) under Harknessia gibbosa. Its description in RNAcentral is "eukaryotic LSU rRNA". It matches the Rfam family "Eukaryotic large subunit ribosomal RNA", at positions 24 to 964 of the family's 3401-position model. Lineage: Eukaryota; Fungi; Ascomycota; Sordariomycetes; Diaporthales; Harknessiaceae. The record is from RNAcentral.